CCAAUAGCGUAUAUUAAAGUUGUUGCAGUUAAAAAGCUCGUAGUUGAAUUUCGGGAUCAAUAUGUUGGUCGUGCCUUGGUACGUACUAGUUUAUUGAUUUCUUCCUUCUGACGAAUCAUGAUGUCAUUAAUUUGGUGUCAUGGGGAAUCAGGACUGUUACUUUGAAAAAAUUAGAGUGUUUAAAGCAGGCUCACGCUUGAAUACAUUAGCAUGGAAUAAUGAAAUAGGACGUUUGAUUCUAUUUUGUUGGUUUCUAGGAUCGACGUAAUGAUUAAUAGGGAUAGUUGGGGGCAUUAGUAUUCAAUUGUCAGAGGUGAAAUUCUUGGAUUUAUUGAAGACUAACUACUGCGAAAGCAUUUGCCAAGGAUGUUUUCAUUAAUCAAGAACGAAAGUUAGGGGAUCGAAGACGAUCAGAUACCGUCGUAGUCUUAACCAUAAACUAUGCCGACUAGGGAUCGGAUGAUGUUAAUUUUUUAAUUACUCAUUCGGUGCCUUACG
This 498-nucleotide ribosomal RNA is filed under the name uncultured Glomeromycotina. Its description in RNAcentral is "partial small subunit ribosomal RNA". It matches the Rfam family "Eukaryotic small subunit ribosomal RNA", at positions 591 to 1092 of the family's 1831-position model. Lineage: Eukaryota; Fungi; Glomeromycota. The record is from RNAcentral.